This is a long non-coding RNA of Myotis brandtii (Brandt's bat), 460 nucleotides long. RefSeq lists it as uncharacterized. NCBI's taxonomy places the organism in Eukaryota, Metazoa, Chordata, Mammalia, Chiroptera, Vespertilionidae. The transcript is spliced from 2 exons. The record is from RefSeq and is a predicted model, not a curated record.
AGGGUACACGGCUCGGCAGGUGGCGCUGGAGACGAUGGCGAUGUUGAGGCACUGCAGCUUGUCUGGGAAUGGGCCUGGGGGUGGAAGCUACUGUGUGACCUUCGACCUUCAGUCUUAUCAUCCUUUGAUCCCAACUGGACCUCACGUCUUCUGUCUCCUGACCCCGUAUUCCUUGUCUUCACCUUACGCUCCAACUUCAGUUCUGCUUCCUCUAAAUCACUGGUCUCUAUUCCAAGGUGACCUCUGACCCUAGGUUAUUUGAACCCUGACUCCAUGACCCCUAGCCUCUGCCUCCACACUCGAAACUCUAUGGCUUCCAAUCCCAGAUCCAUGACCCCUAAUCUCCAUCCUGAGACUGUGGCCAGCUGCUGUAACAUGUGGGUCCCAUGGCCUCAACUCUUCAAUGACGUUGACCAACCCCUGUCCUAUCCUAUAUAAUAAAAGCCUAAUAUGCUAAGUG